RNAcentral lists this ribosomal RNA (497 nucleotides) under uncultured bacterium. Its description in RNAcentral is "bacterial SSU rRNA". It matches the Rfam family "Bacterial small subunit ribosomal RNA", at positions 903 to 1397 of the family's 1533-position model. The record is from RNAcentral.
AAAGGAAUAGACGGGGACCCGCACAAGCAGCGGAGCAUGUGGUUUAAUUCGAAGCAACGCGAAGAACCUUACCUGGACUUGACAUCCCUUGGACCGCUUUGUAAUGAAAGCUUUCCCUUCGGGGACCAAGGAGACAGGUGGUGCAUGGUUGUCGUCAGCUCGUGUCGUGAGAUGUUGGGUUAAGUCCCGCAACGAGCGCAACCCUUGUCUUUAGUUGCCAUCAAGUAAAGUUGGGCACUCUAGAGAGACUGCCGGGGAUAACUCGGAGGAAGGUGGGGAUGACGUCAAAUCAUCAUGCCCCUUAUGUCCAGGGCUACACACGUGCUACAAUGGCCGAUACAAAGGGAAGCGAAAGAGUAAUCUGAAGCCAAUCUCAUAAAGUCGGUCACAGUUCGGAUUGUGGGCUGCAACUCGCCCACAUGAAGUCGGAGUUGCUAGUAAUCGCAAAUCAGAAUGUUGCGGUGAAUGCGUUCCCGGGUCUUGUACACACCGCCCGU